This 502-nucleotide ribosomal RNA is filed under the name Lactobacillus delbrueckii subsp. lactis. RNAcentral's name for it is "bacterial SSU rRNA". It matches the Rfam family "Bacterial small subunit ribosomal RNA", at positions 32 to 503 of the family's 1533-position model. The record is from RNAcentral. Lineage: Bacteria; Bacillati; Bacillota; Bacilli; Lactobacillales; Lactobacillaceae.
AACGCUGGCGGCGUGCCUAAUACAUGCAAGUCGAGCGAGCUGAAUUCAAAGAUUCCUUCGGGAUGAUUUGUUGGACGCUAGCGGCGGAUGGGUGAGUAACACGUGGGCAAUCUGCCCUAAAGACUGGGAUACCACUUGGAAACAGGUGCUAAUACCGGAUAACAACAUGAAUCGCAUGAUUCAAGUUUGAAAGGCGGCGCAAGCUGUCACUUUAGGAUGAGCCCGCGGCGCAUUAGCUAGUUGGUGGGGUAAAGGCCUACCAAGGCAAUGAUGCGUAGCCGAGUUGAGAGACUGAUCGGCCACAUUGGGACUGAGACACGGCCCAAACUCCUACGGGAGGCAGCAGUAGGGAAUCUUCCACAAUGGACGCAAGUCUGAUGGAGCAACGCCGCGUGAGUGAAGAAGGUCUUCGGAUCGUAAAGCUCUGUUGUUGGUGAAGAAGGAUAGAGGCAGUAACUGGUCUUUAUUUGACGGUAAUCAACCAGAAAGUCACGGCUAACUA